AGAGUUUGAUCCUGGCUCAGGAUGAACGCUAGCGGGAGGCUUAACACAUGCAAGUCGAGGGGUAAUCCCGAUUUAUCGGGAACGACCGGCGCACGGGUGAGUAACGCGUAUGCAACCUACCUUUUACAGAGGAAUAGCCCAGAGAAAUUUGGAUUAAUACCUCAUAGCACUGUCAAUUCGCAUGAUUUGACAGUUAAAGUUUCGGCGGUAAAAGAUGGGCAUGCGUGACAUUAGAUAGUUGGCGGGGUAACGGCCCACCAAGUCAGCGAUGUCUAGGGGUUCUGAGAGGAUGAUCCCCCACACUGGUACUGAGACACGGACCAGACUCCUACGGGAGGCAGCAGUGAGGAAUAUUGGUCAAUGGACGCAAGUCUGAACCAGCCAUCCCGCGUGAAGGAUGACGGUCCUAUGGAUUGUAAACUUCUUUUAUGUACCAAGAAUGUGCCCUACGUGUAGGGUUUUGACGGUAGUACAUGAAUAAGCAUCGGCUAACUCCGUGCCAGCAGCCGCGGUAAUACGGAGGAUGCGAGCGUUAUCCGGAUUCAUUGGGUUUAAAGGGUGCGUAGGCGGCUUAUUAAGUCAGUGGUGAAAUCCUGCGGCUCAACCGUAGAACUGCCAUUGAAACUGAUAAGCUUGAAUAUAGUUGAGGUAGGCGGAAUGAGUAGUGUAGCGGUGAAAUGCUUAGAGAUUACUCAGAACACCGAUUGCGAAGGCAGCUUACUAAACUAAUAUUGACGCUGAGGCACGAAAGCGUGGGGAGCGAACAGGAUUAGAUACCCUGGUAGUCCACGCCGUAAACGAUGUUCACUCGCUGCUUGCGAUACAUAGUAAGUGGCCAAGCGAAAGCAUUAAGUGAACCACCUGGGGAGUACGUCGGCAACGGUGAAACUCAAAGGAAUUGACGGGGGCCCGCACAAGCGGAGGAACAUGUGGUUUAAUUCGAUGAUACGCGAGGAACCUUACCUGGGCUUAAAUGUAGAUUGCAUGUGGUGGAAACACCCUUCUCUUCGGAGCUAUCUACAAGGUGCUGCAUGGUUGUCGUCAGCUCGUGCCGUGAGGUGUCGGGUUAAGUCCCAUAACGAGCGCAACCCCUAUCGUUAGUUGCCAUCAGGUUAAGCUGGGGACUCUAACGAGACUGCCACCGUAAGGUGAGAGGAAGGUGGGGAUGACGUCAAAUCAGCACGGCCCUUAUGUCCAGGGCUACACACGUGUUACAAUGGCAGGUACAAAGGGCAGCUACACCGCGAGGUGAUGCUAAUCUCGAAAGCCUGUCUCAGUUCGGAUCGGAGUCUGCAACUCGACUCCGUGAAGUUGGAUUCGCUAGUAAUCGCGUAUCAGCAAUGACGCGGUGAAUACGUUCCCGGGCCUUGUACACACCGCCCGUCAAACCAUGGAAGCUGGGGGGACCUGAAGUCUGUCACCGUAAGGAGCGGCCUAGGGUAAAACCGGUAACUGGGGUUAAGUCGGAACAAGGUA
Molecule: ribosomal RNA, 1476 nt
Filed under: metagenome
Description: bacterial SSU rRNA
Rfam family: Bacterial small subunit ribosomal RNA
Source: RNAcentral